UUUUUCAGAUCACGUGACCUCUUCCCUAUGAGAUAGGCAAGGGAGGCUUGUCUCUAGGUUUCUUGAGUGUCUUGAUUAGAAACAUUCUCCUGAAAUGGGCAUCAAACCUACUUACAAAGUAGCUGUUCAUGGUGAUUUUCCAGUGGGCGGCCAUUGGUAUGCAUGGUAAUAAAAGUCACUAGGUUAGAGAAGACUGCUGAGGCGUCAAAUUUAGGAAGAUGCAUCCAUGACCUUUGCUUCAUCAGAGGCUAUGUUAAUUUUUAUUUAAUUUUAUAGUACUUUAAAUUAAAUAAUAUCAAAUACAUAAUAUUAGCCCUGUGUGCCAAGUAGCAUUUUACUACUUGCUAGUAGUGUUGUAUCUACUGAUUGCAUCCUCACAACAGCUCUGUGAAGUAGAAACCGUUCUAUCUUACAGAUGAAAAACUAAGACAAAGAGGUUGAAUAAUAUGUUGAAGUUCGUAAAGGUGGUAAGUGAUAGACCUAGGACUUGAACUCAGGCACUGACUCUAUAGAGUCCUGCCUCUUGUAACUACUACACCAUACUUCUCACGGAAAUAUGCCUCUCUGCACCCUCAUCCCCACAUGCCACUCUGAUCCUACUUUGUGGUGAUAAUUGCUGUUGUUUGAUGUGUAUCUUUCCAGAUGUUCUCAAAGGUGACCAUUGAUCUAUCUCUGUGUCUGUAUUCUAAUGUUUACAUACAUGCACUCAUACUUUUUGUUUUCUUUCAAUAACAUAAAUGGUCAGUUAUUUUUAUAACACGUUACAGACAUUUUUUACAUUCAUUACACUCCAGUCACAUUUAGAAAUGUGUCUCACUCUUUUUACUAUGCCUGCAUUCACUGUAAGGAGUGAGUGUACCAUGAUGUUUUUUGUUUGUUUGUUUGUUUUGUCAUUACAUAGAGUGCUUUGGUAAGUGUCCAUCAUCUAUAUAUCUAUGUAUCUGGUAUGUGUUUAUCUUUAGGUAUUCUUAUUAUUUCCUAAAGUGGGAAUUCACAUUAAUAGUUAUAGUGUGUACUGCUAAAUUAUCCUCCAUAAAGGAUACACACACGCAAAAAAACAAAAAAACCCUGGAAAGAGGUCUUUAAAAAACCACUAAUAGGGCUAUUGACUGGCUGGCUCAGUCAGUAGAGCACGUGACCCUUGAUUUCAGGGUUCUGAGUUCGAGCCCCGUCUUGGGUGUAGAGUUUACUUAAAAUCUUUAGAAAAAUA
Molecule: long non-coding RNA, 1210 nt
Organism: Neofelis nebulosa (Clouded leopard)
Lineage: Eukaryota; Metazoa; Chordata; Mammalia; Carnivora; Felidae
Exons: 2
Source: RefSeq, a predicted model, not a curated record